This 1494-nucleotide ribosomal RNA is filed under the name Triticum aestivum (bread wheat). RNAcentral's name for it is "partial small subunit ribosomal RNA". The record is from RNAcentral. Lineage: Eukaryota; Viridiplantae; Streptophyta; Magnoliopsida; Poales; Poaceae.
AUGUUUUCGCACGGCGCGGAUCCCGCCCACGACGCCUCCGCCGCCGGCGGCGGCGUCGGUGUCAGCGCCGGCGGCCCGCUCGUCCACACCCGCUUCGUCUGGCCCCAUGGCGGCAAGAGGGUCUUCCUCAGCGGUUCCUUCACCAGGUGGUCAGAGCAUUUGCCGAUGUCUCCAGUCGAAGGUUGCCCCACUGUAUUUCAAGCUAUCUGCAGCUUACCUCCAGGGAUUUAUCAGUACAAGUUCAAUGUGGACGGGCAGUGGAGGCAUGACGAGGGGCAACCUACUAUAACGGGAGAGUAUGGGGUGGUAAACACUUUGUACUUGACAAGGGAAUUUGACCACAUAAAUACUGUACUGAGCCCCACUACACCUGGGAGCAGGAUGGAUGUGGACAAUGAUAGUUUUCAACGAAUGGGUUCGUUGUUGGAUGGUGCCCUUCAGGAAGGUUCUCCAAGAAUUUCAGAGGCUGCUAUACAGAUCUCUAGGUGUCGUGUUGCUGAGUAUCUGAAUGCGCAUACAGGCCAUGACCUACUACCAGAUUCUGGAAAGGUCAUUGCUCUGGACAUUAAUUUACCUGUGAAGCAAUCUUUCCAUAUUCUCCAUGAACAGGGGAUUCCUGUGGCUCCUCUGUGGGAUUCAUUCAGGGGUCAGUUUGUUGGCCUUCUGAGCCCACUGGAUUUUAUACUUAUAUUGAGAGAGCUGGAAACGCAUGGCUCAAACCUGACAGAGGAACAGCUUGAAACACACACUAUAUCUGCGUGGAAAGAGGCUAAGCGGCAAACUUAUGGAAGAAAUGAUGGACAACUUAGAUCAAAUCAGCAUCUAGUGCAUGCCACCCCUUAUGAAUCCUUGAGGGGUAUUGCCAUGAAAAUACUUGAAACUGGUAUUUCUACAGUACCAAUCAUCUAUUCAUCGUCAUCAGAUGGAUCGUUUCCGCAGCUGUUGCAUCUUGCAUCCCUUUCAGGAAUUUUGAAAUGUAUCUGUAGAUACUUUAAGAACUCCACUGGUAGUUUGCCGAUUCUAAACCAACCAGUAUGCUCAAUUCCGCUGGGUACAUGGGUUCCAAAAAUUGGUGAACCAAAUGGUCAUCCAUUGGCUAUGUUGCGGCCUAAUACAUCUCUUAGCUCUGCCCUUAACUUGUUGGUUCAAGCUGGAGUUAGUUCAAUACCCAUUGUGGAUGAUAAUGACUCGCUGAUCGACACAUACUCCAGAAGUGACAUCACAGCUCUAGCAAAAGACAAGGUCUACACCCAUAUUCGCCUAGAUGAGAUGACCAUUCAUCAGGCCUUGCAACUUGGGCAAGACGCGAAUUCACCUUUUGGACUUUUCAACGGUCAAAGAUGCCAGAUGUGUCUUCGGUCUGACCCUUUGCUGAAGGUUAUGGAGAGAUUGGCUAAUCCUGGGGUGCGUCGCGUGUUCAUCGUGGAGGCUGGCAGCAAGCGAGUGGAAGGCGUAAUAUCGCUGAGCGACAUAUUCAAGUUGCUGCUGAGCUAG